GACGAACGCUGGCGGCGUGCCUAAUACAUGCAAGUCGAACGAACUCUGGUAUUGAUUGGUGCUUGCAUCAUGAUUUARCAUUUGAGUGAGUGGCGAACUGGUGAGUAACACGUGGGAAACCUGCCCAGAAGCGGGGGAUAACACCUGGAAACAGAUGCUAAUACCGCAUAACAACUUGGACCGCAUGGUCCGAGUUUGAAAGAUGGCUUCGGCUAUCACUUUUGGAUGGUCCCGCGGCGUAUUAGCUAGAUGGUGGGGUAACGGCUCACCAUGGCAAUGAUACGUAGCCGACCUGAGAGGGUAAUCGGCCACAUUGGGACUGAGACACGGCCCAAACUCCUACGGGAGGCAGCAGUAGGGAAUCUUCCACAAUGGACGAAAGUCUGAUGGAGCAACGCCGCGUGAGUGAAGAAGGGUUUCGGCUCGUAAAACUCUGUUGUUAAAGAAGAACAUAUCUGAGAGUAACUGUUCAGGUAUUGACGGUAUUUAACCAGAAAGCCACGGCUAACUACGUGCCAGCAGCCGCGGUAAUACGUAGGUGGCAAGCGUUGUCCGGAUUUAUUGGGCGUAAAGCGAGCGCAGGCGGUUUUUUAAGUCUGAUGUGAAAGCCUUCGGCUCAACCGAAGAAGUGCAUCGGAAACUGGGAAACUUGAGUGCAGAAGAGGACAGUGGAACUCCAUGUGUAGCGGUGAAAUGCGUAGAUAUAUGGAAGAACACCAGUGGCGAAGGCGGCUGUCUGGUCUGUAACUGACGCUGAGGCUCGAAAGUAUGGGUAGCAAACAGGAUUAGAUACCCUGGUAGUCCAUACCGUAAACGAUGAAUGCUAAGUGUUGGAGGGUUUCCGCCCUUCAGUGCUGCAGCCAACGCAUUAAGCAUUCCGCCUGGGGAGUACGGCCGCAAGGCUGAAACUCAAAGGAAUUGACGGGGGCCCGCACAAGCGGUGGAGCAUGUGGUUUAAUUCGAAGCUACGCGAAGAACCUUACCAGGUCUUGACAUACUAUGCAAAUCUAAGAGAUUAGACGUUCCCUUCGGGGACAUGGAUACAGGUGGUGCAUGGUUGUCGUCAGCUCGUGUCGUGAGAUGUUGGGUUAAGUCCCGCAACGAGCGCAACCCUUAUUAUCAGUUGCCAGCAUUAAGUUGGGCACUCUGGUGAGACUGCCGGUGACAAACCGGAGGAAGGUGGGGAUGACGUCAAAUCAUCAUGCCCCUUAUGACCUGGGCUACACACGUGCUACAAUGGAUGGUACAACGAGUUGCGAACUCGCGAGAGUAAGCUAAUCUCUUAAAGCCAUUCUCAGUUCGGAUUGUAGGCUGCAACUCGCCUACAUGAAGUCGGAAUCGCUAGUAAUCGCGGAUCAGCAUGCCGCGGUGAAUACGUUCCCGGGCCUUGUACACACCGCCCGUCACACCAUGAGAGUUUGUAACACCCAAAGUCGGUGGGGUAACCUUUUAGGAACCAGCCGCCUAAGGUGGGACAGAUGAUUAGGGUG
RNAcentral lists this ribosomal RNA (1490 nucleotides) under Lactiplantibacillus plantarum. RNAcentral describes it as "bacterial SSU rRNA". Lineage: Bacteria; Bacillati; Bacillota; Bacilli; Lactobacillales; Lactobacillaceae. The record is from RNAcentral.